RNAcentral lists this ribosomal RNA (407 nucleotides) under uncultured bacterium. Its description in RNAcentral is "partial 16S ribosomal RNA". It matches the Rfam family "Bacterial small subunit ribosomal RNA", at positions 30 to 526 of the family's 1533-position model. The record is from RNAcentral.
AUUGAACGCUGGCGGCAGGCCUAACACAUGCAAGUCGAGCGGAGCGGCGGACGGGUAAGUAAUGCCUAGGAUUCUGCCUGGUAGGGGGGGUUAACGUCCGGAAACGGGCGCUACUCCCGCAUACUUUCAGAUAGGCCUAGGUCGGAUUAGCUAGUUGGUGGGGUAAAGGCCUACCAAGGCGACGAUCCGUACCUGGUCUGAGAGGAUGAUCAGUAACACUGGAACGGAGACACGGUCCAUACUCCUACGGGAGGCAGCAGUGGGGAAUAUUGGACAAUGGGCGAAAGCCUGAUCCAGCCAUGCCGCGUGUGUGAAGAAGGUCUUCGGAUUGUAAAGCACUUUAAGUUGGGAGGCGUUACCAACAGAAGAAGCACCGGCUAACUUCGUGCCAGCAGCCGCGGUAAUAC